This is a long non-coding RNA of Dermochelys coriacea (leatherback sea turtle), 145 nucleotides long. RefSeq lists it as uncharacterized. The record is from RefSeq and is a predicted model, not a curated record. NCBI's taxonomy places the organism in Eukaryota, Metazoa, Chordata, Testudines, Dermochelyidae. The transcript has 2 exons.
UGCAGGAUUAGAGCCGAAAAAUGUUUAUUUAAAUACUGGAAAUAAGGUUUCUCUUGCAGCAUACCAUAUUUGCCAUUUUCAGGAGACAGUAUUAAAUUAGAACAUAGCUGAAAAUGCAGCAAAGCAAAAGCAUACUUAAAAAUAA